This 439-nucleotide ribosomal RNA is filed under the name uncultured bacterium. Its description in RNAcentral is "partial 16S ribosomal RNA". It matches the Rfam family "Bacterial small subunit ribosomal RNA", at positions 339 to 795 of the family's 1533-position model. The record is from RNAcentral.
CUACGGGGGGCUGCAGUGAGGAAUAUUGCACAAUGGAGGAAACUCUGAUGCAGCAACGCCGCGUGGAGGAUGACGCAUUUCGGUGUGUAAACUCCUUUUAAGAGGGAAGAUUAUGACGGUACCUCUUGAAUAAGCACCGGCUAACUCCGUGCCAGCAGCCGCGGUAAUACGGAGGGUGCAAGCGUUACUCGGAAUCACUGGGCGUAAAGGGUGCGUAGGCUGGCUUUUAAGUCAGAUGUGAAAUCCUAUGGCUUAACCAUAGAACUGCAUUUGAAACUGAAAGCCUAGAGUUCAGAAGGGGCAGAUGGAAUUAGUGGUGUAGGGGUAAAAUCCGUAGAUAUCACUAGGAAUAUCAAAAGCGAAGGCGAUCUGCUGGGAUGAUACUGACGCUGAGGCACGAAAGCGUGGGGAGCAAACAGGAUUAGAUACCCGUGUAGUC